This 467-nucleotide ribosomal RNA is filed under the name uncultured bacterium. RNAcentral describes it as "partial 16S ribosomal RNA". It matches the Rfam family "Bacterial small subunit ribosomal RNA", at positions 28 to 507 of the family's 1533-position model. The record is from RNAcentral.
GAUGAACGCUGGCGGCGUGCUUAACACAUGCAAGUCGAACGGAAAGGCCCAAGCUUUCUUGGUUACUCGAGUGGCGAACGGGUGAGUAACACGUGGGUGAUCUGCCCUUCACUUCGGGAUAAGCCUUGGAAACUGGGUCUAAUACCGGAUAGGACCACAUUUUGGAUGGUGUGGUGUAAAGUUUUUCGGUGUUGGAUGAGCUCGCGGCCUAUCAGCUUGUUGGUGGGGUAAUUGCCUACCAAGGCGUCGACGGGUAGCCGGCCUGAGAGGGUGUAUGGACAGAUUGGGACUGAGAGACAGCCAAGACUCGUACGGGAGGCAGCAGUGGGGAAUAUUGGACAAAGGGAGCAAGCGUGAUGCAGCGAGGCCGCGGGGGGGAUGAAGGCCUUCGGGUGGUAAACACCUUUCGCUAGGGAAGAAGCGAUUUUGUGACGGUACCUGGAGAAGAAGCACCGGCUAACUACGUG